Telopea speciosissima is the source of this 106-nucleotide long non-coding RNA. RefSeq lists it as uncharacterized. Lineage: Eukaryota; Viridiplantae; Streptophyta; Magnoliopsida; Proteales; Proteaceae. The record is from RefSeq and is a predicted model, not a curated record. The transcript has 2 exons.
UUGCUAGGGUUGGCAGUUUUGCGGGUUUUCCAUUUCUGGGAAUAUAAUUUAAUCCUUUAAACUUUGAAACAGCUUCAAUGAUAUAUCAAUACAACGUAGCAUAUAG